This 253-nucleotide ribosomal RNA is filed under the name uncultured bacterium. RNAcentral describes it as "partial 16S ribosomal RNA". It matches the Rfam family "Bacterial small subunit ribosomal RNA", at positions 524 to 776 of the family's 1533-position model. The record is from RNAcentral.
UACGUAGGGUGCAAGCGUUGUCUGGAAUUAUUGGGCGUAAAGAGCGUGUAGGCGGUUCGGUAAGUCUGCCGUGAAAACCUGGGGCUCAACCCCGGGCGUGCGGUGGAUACUGCCGGGCUAGAGGGUGGUAGAGGCGAGUGGAAUUCCCGGUGUAGCGGUGAAAUGCGCAGAUAUCGGGAGGAACACCAGUAGCGAAGGCGGCUCUCUGGGCCUUACCUGACGCUGAGACGCGAAAGCGUGGGGAGCGAACCGG